Molecule: ribosomal RNA, 250 nt
Filed under: uncultured bacterium
Lineage: Bacteria
Description: partial 16S ribosomal RNA
Rfam family: Bacterial small subunit ribosomal RNA
Source: RNAcentral
UACGGAGGAUCCGAGCGUUAUCCGGAUUUAUUGGGUUUAAAGGGUGCGUAGGUGGCUAAUUAAGUCAGGGGUGAAAGACGGCAGCUUAACUGUCGCAGUGCCUUUGAUACUGAUUGGCUUGAAUGACGUUGAAGAUGGCGGAAUGAGACAAGUAGCGGUGAAAUGCAUAGAUAUGUCUCAGAACACCGAUUGCGAAGGCAGCUGUCUAAGCGUUUAUUGACACUGAUGCACGAAAGCGUGGGGAUCAAAC